AGUGAGCGCUGGCGGUAGGCCUAACACAUGCAAGUCGAACGGCAGCACAGUAAGAGCUUGCUCUUACGGGUGGCGAGUGGCGGACGGGUGAGGAAUACAUCGGAAUCUACUUUUUCGUGGGGGAUAACGUAGGGAAACUUACGCUAAUACCGCAUACGACCUACGGGUGAAAGCAGGGGAUCUUCGGACCUUGCGCGAUUGAAUGAGCCGAUGUCGGAUUAGCUAGUUGGCGGGGUAAAGGCCCACCAAGGCGACGAUCCGUAGCUGGUCUGAGAGGAUGAUCAGCCACACUGGAACUGAGACACGGUCCAGACUCCUACGGGAGGCAGCAGUGGGGAAUAUUGGACAAUGGGCGCAAGCCUGAUCCAGCCAUACCGCGUGGGUGAAGAAGGCCUUCGGGUUGUAAAGCCCUUUUGUUGGGAAAGAAAAGCAGCAGGUUAAUACCCCGCUGUUCUGACGGUACCCAAAAAAUAAGCACCGGCUAACUUCGUG
RNAcentral lists this ribosomal RNA (492 nucleotides) under uncultured bacterium. RNAcentral describes it as "partial 16S ribosomal RNA". It matches the Rfam family "Bacterial small subunit ribosomal RNA", at positions 29 to 507 of the family's 1533-position model. The record is from RNAcentral.